CAGCCGCCACGGUAAUACAGAGGGUGCGAGCGUUAAUCGGAUUUACUGGGCGUAAAGCGUGCGUAGGCGGCUUUUUAAGUCGGAUGUGAAAUCCCUGAGCUUAACUUAGGAAUUGCAUUCGAUACUGGGAAGCUAGAGUAUGGGAGAGGAUGGUAGAAUUCCAGGUGUAGCGGUGAAAUGCGUAGAGAUCUGGAGGAAUACCGAUGGCGAAGGCAGCCAUCUGGCCUAAUACUGACGCUGAUGUACGAAAGCAUGGGGAGCAAACAGGAUUAGAUACCCCGGUAGUCCCUGUCUCUUAUAC
RNAcentral lists this ribosomal RNA (301 nucleotides) under uncultured bacterium. Its description in RNAcentral is "partial 16S ribosomal RNA". It matches the Rfam family "Bacterial small subunit ribosomal RNA", at positions 509 to 807 of the family's 1533-position model. The record is from RNAcentral.